This 235-nucleotide long non-coding RNA is filed under the name Capsicum annuum. RNAcentral's name for it is "long non-coding RNA (CANN_LNC007294)". The record is from RNAcentral. Lineage: Eukaryota; Viridiplantae; Streptophyta; Magnoliopsida; Solanales; Solanaceae.
UUAGAUUUCUUAGUUUCAUUUUAUUGUUUUCUAGUUUUGUUUGUUUGCUCGACACUAAUUGACAACCUAGUAAUACCCUACUAGCUUGUAAGUUAGUUUUGUGUACGUUCUUCGUGUUAACGUUGUUUGUUUGUGUGCUUUUGUCGUUUGAAUACGUUGUAACUCUUGGCUCUAGUCUGACGAGAAUUCUUUAGGUUUUAAAUAAGAAUCCAUUCCGGGAAAGAGCAUACUCAUA